RNAcentral lists this transfer RNA (74 nucleotides) under Diplopterygium glaucum. Its description in RNAcentral is "tRNA-Arg". It matches the Rfam family "tRNA". From Rfam's summary of the family: Transfer RNA (tRNA) molecules are approximately 80 nucleotides in length. The record is from RNAcentral. Lineage: Eukaryota; Viridiplantae; Streptophyta; Polypodiopsida; Gleicheniales; Gleicheniaceae.
GAGUUGGUAGCUCAGCGGAUCAGAGCACGUGGUUCCGAACUACGGUGUCGGGGGUUCGAGUCCCUUCCAAUUCG